Molecule: transfer RNA, 72 nt
Filed under: Adineta vaga
Lineage: Eukaryota; Metazoa; Rotifera; Eurotatoria; Adinetida; Adinetidae
Also listed under: 1 other name
Description: tRNA-Glu for anticodon UUC
Rfam family: tRNA
About the family: Transfer RNA (tRNA) molecules are approximately 80 nucleotides in length. Their secondary structure includes four short double-helical elements and three loops (D, anti-codon, and T loops).
Source: RNAcentral
AUCCGUGUAGUCUAGCGGUUAGGAUGUGGCGCUUUCACCGCCAAUACCCGGGUUCAAAUCCCGGCACGGAUA